Long non-coding RNA from Eptesicus fuscus (big brown bat), 234 nucleotides. RefSeq lists it as uncharacterized. The transcript has 4 exons. Lineage: Eukaryota; Metazoa; Chordata; Mammalia; Chiroptera; Vespertilionidae. The record is from RefSeq and is a predicted model, not a curated record.
CUUCAUGCUGCUGCUCACGAAGGGAAAAAGAUUGGAAAACACUGCUUUGAAACUGGGAGGAGGCCACUGAAGACUCCAUGCAGGAAGGAAGAACACAGGCGUCCCUGCAGCUGGACCGCCUCUGCCGUGGUGGGAACUGAUUUUUAAAAGGCACAGCUCCUUCAAGAACUCCACCUCCUGGCCCCAGCCUAACUGCAAGCUCCUCUCCUAUUCCUGGGGCUCCCACUCUCAUGC